This 204-nucleotide unclassified non-coding RNA is filed under the name uncultured fungus. RNAcentral's name for it is "sequence contains ITS1". The record is from RNAcentral. Lineage: Eukaryota; Fungi.
ACAAAUCAUGAUGUAGUGUUGCUGUGUAACAGCAGCACACUACAAAUUAACCCGAACCUGUGCCUUCUGGCCAGGCUAGGUGUGGGUGAAUGAGUGCGCUAGGCUUGUCCUAAUGUACUCUUUGCUCGCGGUGAAGACGAAAGUCGGAUCCACAUAGACGCUUGUUUUUGUUUGACAGAUUUCAAUUGUAUCCAAAAUUAAUGA